CAGUCGCCGCGGUAAUACGGAGGGUGCAAGCGUUAAUCGGAAUUACUGGGCGUAAAGCGCACGCAGGCGGUUUGUUAAGUCAGAUGUGAAUCCCCGAGCUUAACUUGGGAACUGCAUUUGAAACUGGCAAGCUAGAGUCUUGUAGAGGGGGGUAGAAUUCCAGGUGUAGCGGUGAAAUGCGUAGAGAUCUGGAGGAAUACCGGUGGCGAAGGCGGCCCCCUGGACAAAGACUGACGCUCAGGUACGAAAGCGUGGGGAGCAAACAGGAUUAGAUACCCCUGUAGUCCCUGUCUCUUAUACA
This 301-nucleotide ribosomal RNA is filed under the name uncultured bacterium. Its description in RNAcentral is "partial 16S ribosomal RNA". It matches the Rfam family "Bacterial small subunit ribosomal RNA", at positions 509 to 808 of the family's 1533-position model. The record is from RNAcentral.